AGCGAGCUCUCGUUCAGGCCCGCCGCCAUCAGAGCCAUCCGCCGCUGCUGCUGCUGCACGGUGUGGCUCUGCGAGAAAAAAAGGCGAGGCCGGAGCGUUGCUCUACGCUGCAGGGACUCUAACGGAGUACACGAUGAAAACAACGGGAAGGCCCCAAUGGGAAAAGCACGCAACAUUUAAAAGAGCGCAACAUGCCAGCUUGGCUUGCAAGAGUAUGACCGAUACCGCAACCUGUGACCACUGCAGCCAUGAAGAUUUUGUGCACCGGCCCGUAGUACAGUCCUCAGAGGGAAUGCCUUCGCCACGAACUUGACGAGCUGGACGACCAACCGCCGUCGGAAAAAAAGAAUUUUACGCCAUCGAAAGGACCUACCGUGACAGAAGAACGCCGUGCAAGCACUAUUACGCAUUUUGAGAUCUACCGGCCUUUGUGAACGUCUUUAACUGGAACGCUUGUGUGCCUCCGUGUGUGCGUGUUUCCUUUAACGCUUUCCUUUCUGUCCUCUUUCUAACCCAUAUCUCCCAUCCCCAGUGUAGGGUAGCAAACCGGAGACUGAUAUCCAGUUAACCUCCCUGCCUUUCCUUUUCAUAUCUCUCUCUCUCUCUCUGUAACUGCAUAUUGACACUUCAUUUGUAAUUGUUCUUCUUUCUCAUUUUGUUUUGUCCUCCUACAAUAGCCCCCUUGGGAUUGGCAGCAUGUAAUAAAUAAAAUAAAUAAAUAAAUUUA
RNA transcript from Dermacentor albipictus, 727 nucleotides. RefSeq lists it as uncharacterized. NCBI's taxonomy places the organism in Eukaryota, Metazoa, Arthropoda, Arachnida, Ixodida, Ixodidae. The record is from RefSeq and is a predicted model, not a curated record.